This 65-nucleotide transfer RNA is filed under the name Engaeus cunicularius. RNAcentral's name for it is "tRNA-Ser". Lineage: Eukaryota; Metazoa; Arthropoda; Malacostraca; Decapoda; Parastacidae. The record is from RNAcentral.
AAAGAGAUUCAAACCAAGAAAGCUUCUAACUUUCCUCCUUAGCGGUCAAAUUCCGUUAGUUUCUU